GCGGGCGUAGCUCAACGGAUAGAGCAUCUGACUACGGAUCAGAAGGUUGGGGGUUCGAAUCCCUUCGCCCGCA
Molecule: transfer RNA, 73 nt
Organism: Renibacterium salmoninarum ATCC 33209
Lineage: Bacteria; Bacillati; Actinomycetota; Actinomycetes; Micrococcales; Micrococcaceae
Rfam family: tRNA
About the family: Transfer RNA (tRNA) molecules are approximately 80 nucleotides in length.
Source: Rfam